Molecule: ribosomal RNA, 450 nt
Filed under: uncultured bacterium
Lineage: Bacteria
Description: partial 16S ribosomal RNA
Rfam family: Bacterial small subunit ribosomal RNA
Source: RNAcentral
GUGGGGAAUUUUGGACAAUGGGCGCAAGCCUGAUCCAGCAAUGCCGCGUGCAGGAAGAAGGCCUUCGGGUUGUAAACUGCUUUUGUACGGAACGAAACGGUCCGGGUUAAUACCCUGGGCUAAUGACGGUACCGUAAGAAUAAGCACCGGCUAACUACGUGCCAGCAGCCGCGGUAAUACGUAGGGUGCAAGCGUUAAUCGGAAUUACUGGGCGUAAAGCGUGCGCAGGCGGUUUUGUAAGAUCGAUGUGAAAUCCCCGGGCUCAACCUGGGAACUGCAUUGGUGACUGCAAGGCUGGAGGGCGGCAGAGGGGGAUGGAAUUCCGCGUGUAGCAGUGAAAUGCGUAGAUAUGCGGAGGAACACCGAUGGCGAAGGCAAUCCCCUGGGCCUGCACUGACGCUCAUGCACGAAAGCGUGGGGAGCAAACAGGAUUAGAUACCCUUGUAGUCC